Small nucleolar RNA from Physella acuta, 76 nucleotides. Lineage: Eukaryota; Metazoa; Mollusca; Gastropoda; Physidae. The record is from RefSeq and is a predicted model, not a curated record.
GUUGCCUGUGAUGAUGAUUGUUACCUCUAUCUUGAAUUAGAUGAAAAUAACUACAUGCACUACCAUCUGAGGCCUG